AUCCAGCUGACGAGUCCAAACAGGACGAAACGCGCGUCCUGGGU
RNAcentral lists this non-coding RNA (44 nucleotides) under Schistosoma mattheei. The record is from RNAcentral. Lineage: Eukaryota; Metazoa; Platyhelminthes; Trematoda; Strigeidida; Schistosomatidae.